ACAGCAGUCACCGUGCUCGGCUGACACUCCGGGUUAGCUGUGGGUGUCGAAAGGCUGUUGUUAUAGGAAGGGAGAAUAAGAGUAACACCUAGGUAUGAGGUGCAGACGAAGUGCAAGACACAAAUACUUGGGGUAUAGGAGAGGACAAUGAAGUACGAGGUGCAGACGAAGUGCAAGACACAAGUACUUCAAAGAGAGAACGGGGUAGCCGAGUAUAAGGUGCAGACGAAGUGCAAGACACAAAUACUGGGCGUACCAGAUAAGGAGUAUAACAAAGUACGAGGUGCAGACGAAGUGCAAGACACAAGUACUUUAGUUAUUAGGAGAGGAUAAUGAAGUACGAGGUGCAGACGAAGUGCAAGACACAAGUACUCUGAAAUGUCGAGGAAAAGAGUAUAU
Molecule: long non-coding RNA, 399 nt
Organism: Daktulosphaira vitifoliae (grape phylloxera)
Lineage: Eukaryota; Metazoa; Arthropoda; Insecta; Hemiptera; Phylloxeridae
Exons: 3
Source: RefSeq, a predicted model, not a curated record